AGGACGAACGCUGGCGGCGUGCUUAACACAUGCAAGUCGAGCGGUAAGGCCUUUCGGGGUACACGAGCGGCGAACGGGUGAGUAACACGUGGGUGAUCUGCCCUGCACUUCGGGAUAAGCCUGGGAAACUGGGUCUAAUACCGGAUAUGACCUCCUAUCGCAUGGUGGGUGGUGGAAAGAUUUAUCGGUGCAGGAUGGGCCCGCGGCCUAUCAGCUUGUUGGUGGGCAAUGGCCUACCAAGGCGACGACGGGUAGCCGACCUGAGAGGGUGACCGGCCACACUGGGACUGAGACACGGCCCAGACUCCUACGGGAGGCAGCAGUGGGGAAUAUUGCACAAUGGGCGAAAGCCUGAUGCAGCGACGCCGCGUGAGGGAUGACGGCCUUCGGGUUGUAAACCGUCUUUCAGCAGGGACCGAAGCGCAAGUGACGUACCUGCAGAAGAGCACGCUAACACGUGCCAGCGAGCCGAC
This 473-nucleotide ribosomal RNA is filed under the name uncultured soil bacterium. Its description in RNAcentral is "bacterial SSU rRNA". It matches the Rfam family "Bacterial small subunit ribosomal RNA", at positions 26 to 518 of the family's 1533-position model. The record is from RNAcentral.